GACGAACGCUGGCGGCGUGCCUAACACAUGCAAGUCGAACGGGCGAAGGGAGCUUGCUCCCUGAGCUAGUGGCGAACGGGUGAGUAACGCGUGAGAAACCUGCCUUUCAGUGGGGGACAACAGUUGGAAACGACUGCUAAUACCGCAUAAUGUUAUUUGAGGGCAUCCUCGAAUAACCAAAGAUUUAUUGCUGAAAGAUGGUCUCGCGUCUGAUUAGCUAGUUGGUGAGGUAACGGCUCACCAAGGCGACGAUCAGUAGCCGGUCUGAGAGGAUGAACGGCCACAUUGGGACUGAGAUACGGCCCAGACUCCUACGGGAGGCAGCAGUGGGGAAUAUUGGGCAAUGGGGGAAACCCUGACCCAGCAACGCCGCGUGAAGGAAGAAGGCCUCGG
Molecule: ribosomal RNA, 393 nt
Filed under: uncultured bacterium
Lineage: Bacteria
Description: bacterial SSU rRNA
Rfam family: Bacterial small subunit ribosomal RNA
Source: RNAcentral